GAGAUGUCUCGUGGGCUCGGAGAUGUGUAUAAGAGACAGGGUAGGGGAGCGUUCUUCACGGGCUGAAGGUGUGUCGCAAGGCAUGCUGGACUGUGGAGAAGUGAUUAUGCUGACAUGAGUAACGAUAAAACGGGUGAAAAACCCGUUCGCCGUAAACCCAAGGUUUUCCGGGUAAAGGUAAUCUUCCCGGAGUUAGUCGGCCCCUAAGGCGAGGCUGAAAGGCGUAGCUGAUGGGAAACGUGUUAAUAUUCACGUACUUGUGUGUUCGCGCGAUGAAGGGACGCAGGAAGAUAGGCAAGCCGGGCGCUGGUUGUCCCGGUGCAAGCGUGUAGGGAUGAAGAAUUGGCAAAUCCGUUCUUCUCUAUCCUGAGACGCGAGUCCGUGACCGAAAGGUCUGAAGUUGUUGAGUCUAUGCUGCCUAGAAAAGCUUCUAAGUAUAGGACACGCAAACCGUACCGGAAACCAACUCAGGUGGGUGGGAUGAAUAAUCCAAGGCGCUCGAGAGAACUCUGGCCAAGGAACUCGGCAAAAUAACCCCGUACCUUCGGAAGAAGGGGUGCUUUUUAGGGUGAAGCGAUUCACUCUGUCGAGCCCUGAAAAGCCGCAGAGAAAUGGUGGUGGCGACUGUUUACUAAAAACAUAGGUCUGUGCCAAGUCGUAUAGACGACGUAUACGGACUGACGCCUGCCCGGUGCUGGAAGGUUAAAAGGAGAUGUGCAAGCAUUGAAUUGAAGCCCCAGUGAACGGCGGCCGUAACUAUAACGGUCCUAAGGUAGCGAAAUUCCUUGUCAGGUAAGUUCUGACCCGCAUGAAAGGCGUAAUGAUUUGGGCACUGUCUCAACAGCCCGCCCGGCGAAAUUGUAGUACCGGUGAAGAUGCCGGUUACCCGCGACAAGACGGAAAGACCCCAUGGAGCUUUACUGUAGCCUAAUAUUGGGUUUCGAUGUUGCAUGCACAGGAUAGAUGGGACACUGGGAAACAAUCGCUUUGGCGGUUGCGGAGUGGCCGUUGGGAUACCAUCCUUGCGAUAUUGGAAUUCUAACCUGCGGCUCUGAAUCGAGUCGGGGGACAUUGUUAGGUGGGCAGUUUGACUGGGGCGGUCGCCUCCUAAAAAGUAACGGAGGCGUUCAAAGGUUCGCUCAGCUUGAACGGAAAUCAAGCAAAAGAGUGCAAACGCAGAAGCGAGCCUAACUGCGAGACUGACGGGUCGAGCAGUAACGAAAGUUGGAGUUAGUGAUCCGGUGGUAUGUGAGUGGAAAUGCCAUCGCUCAACGGAUAAAAGUUACCCUGGGGAUAACAGGCUGAUCUCCCCCAAGAGUCCACAUCGACGGGGAGGUU
This 1338-nucleotide ribosomal RNA is filed under the name human gut metagenome. Its description in RNAcentral is "bacterial LSU rRNA". It matches the Rfam family "Bacterial large subunit ribosomal RNA", at positions 1203 to 2518 of the family's 2925-position model. The record is from RNAcentral.